GAGUAACACGUGGGCAACCUACCUGUAAGAUUGGGAUAACUCCGGGAAACCGGGGCUAAUACCGGAUAAUACUAACCACCUCAUGGUGGAAAGUUGAAAGAUGGCUUCGGCUAUCACUUACAGAUGGGCCCGCGGCGCAUUAGCUAGUUGGUGAGGUAAGGGCUCACCAAGGCGACGAUGCGUAGCCGACCUGAGAGGGUGAUCGGCCACACUGGGACUGAGACACGGCCCAGACUCCUACGGGAGGCAGCAGUAGGGAAUCUUCGGCAAUGGGCGAAAGCCUGACCGAGCAACGCCGCGUGAGCGAUGAAGGCCUUCGGGUCGUAAAGCUCUGUUGUUAGGGAAGAACAAGUACCGUUCGAAUAGGGCGGUACCUUGACGGUACCUAACCAGAAAGCCACGGCUAACUACGUGCCAGCAGCCGCGGUAAUACGUAGGUGGCAAGCGUUGUCCGGAAUUAUUGGGCGUAAAGCGCGCGCAGGCGGUCUCUUAAGUCUGAUGUGAAAGCCCACGGCUCAACCGUGGAGGGUCAUUGGAAACUGGGGGACUUGAGUACUGGAGAGGAGAGUGGAAUUCCAUGUGUAGCGGUGAAAUGCGUAGAUAUAUG
This 607-nucleotide ribosomal RNA is filed under the name Bacillus sp. S942. RNAcentral's name for it is "bacterial SSU rRNA". It matches the Rfam family "Bacterial small subunit ribosomal RNA", at positions 108 to 700 of the family's 1533-position model. The record is from RNAcentral. Lineage: Bacteria; Bacillati; Bacillota; Bacilli; Caryophanales; Bacillaceae.